RNAcentral lists this ribosomal RNA (465 nucleotides) under uncultured bacterium. Its description in RNAcentral is "partial 16S ribosomal RNA". It matches the Rfam family "Bacterial small subunit ribosomal RNA", at positions 338 to 795 of the family's 1533-position model. The record is from RNAcentral.
CCUACGGGAGGCAGCAGUAGGGAAUCUUCCACAAUGGGCGAAAGCCUGAUGGAGCAACGCCGCGUGGGUGAAGAAGGUCUUCGGAUCGUAAAACCCUGUUGUUAGAGAAGAAAGUGCGUGAGAGUAACUGUUCACGUUUCGACGGUAUCUAACCAGAAAGCCACGGCUAACUACGUGCCAGCAGCCGCGGUAAUACGUAGGUGGCAAGCCUUAUCCGGAUUUAUUGGGCGUAAAGGGAACGCAGGCGGUCUUUUAAGUCUGAUGUGAAAGCCUUCGGCUUAACCGGAGUAGUGCAUUGGAAACUGGGAGACGUGAGUGCAGAAGAGGAGAGUGGAACUCCAUGUGUAGCGGUGAAAUGCGUAGAUAUAUGGAAGAACACCAGUGGAGAAAGCGGCUCUCUGGUCUGUAACUGACGCUGAGGUUCGAAAGCGUGGGUAGCAAACAGGAUUAGAUACCCCUGUAGUC